This 468-nucleotide ribosomal RNA is filed under the name uncultured bacterium. RNAcentral describes it as "partial 16S ribosomal RNA". It matches the Rfam family "Bacterial small subunit ribosomal RNA", at positions 28 to 507 of the family's 1533-position model. The record is from RNAcentral.
GACGAACGCUGGCGGCGUGCUUAACACAUGCAAGUCGAACGGAAAGGCCUGCAGCUUGCUGCGGGUACUCUAGUGGCGAACGGGUGAGUAACACGUGGGUGAUCUGCCUUGCACUUCGGGAUAAGCUUGGGAAACUGGGUCUAAUACCGGAUAGGACAGCUGUUUAGUGUCAGUUGUGGAAAGUUUUUUCGGUGCAAGAUGAGCUCGCGGCCUAUCAGCUUGUUGGUGGGGUAAUGGCCUACCAAGGCGUCGACGGGUAGCCGGCCUGAGAGGGUGUACGGCCACAUUGGGACUGAGAUACGGCCCAGACUCCUACGGGAGGCAGCAGUGGGGAAUAUUGCACAAUGGGCGGAAGCCUGAUGCAGCGACGCCGCGUGGGGGAUGAAGGCCUUCGGGUUGUAAACUCCUUUCGACAGGGACGAAGCUUUUGUGACGGUACCUGUAUAAGAAGCACCGGCUAACUACGUG